Molecule: unclassified non-coding RNA, 260 nt
Filed under: Hevea brasiliensis (rubber tree)
Lineage: Eukaryota; Viridiplantae; Streptophyta; Magnoliopsida; Malpighiales; Euphorbiaceae
Source: RNAcentral
UUCAUCCAAACAUCCAUGGUCUCCGCGGCCUUCUCCAUCACCAUGCGCUACCAAGACCUGCGUGCCAAUGCUCGGCUCAAUUCAGCGACAAUGGGGCUUCAACGCCGCCGCCGACCAACCUCCACAACAAUGCUGAAUGGCCGCUGUCCCGCAGAGUUGGCGCUGGGUGAGGGGGGAGCAAGCCGCGUUGAUGANNNNNCGAUCUUGGCCUCUGAACUGAGAAGGCGUGUACUGGCAUUCGGAUCUAUUGCAACAACCGA